This 65-nucleotide transfer RNA is filed under the name Graptodytes pictus. RNAcentral's name for it is "tRNA-His". Lineage: Eukaryota; Metazoa; Arthropoda; Insecta; Coleoptera; Dytiscidae. The record is from RNAcentral.
AUUUAAGUAAUUUAAAAUAAAAUUUUGAUUUGUGGUAUCAAAAAUGCAAUUAAUUGCCUUAAAUU